GACGAACGCUGGCGGCGUGCUUAACACAUGCCAGUCGAACGCUGAAGCUCAGCUUUUGUUGGGUGGAUGAGUGGCGAACGGGUGAGUAACACGUGAGUAACCUGCCCCCUUCUUUGGGAUAACGCCCGGAAACGGGUGCUAAUACUGGAUAUUCACUGGUCUUCGCAUGGGGGUUGGUGGAAAGGGCUUUUCUGGUGGGGGAUGGGCUCGCGGCCUAUCAGCUUGUUGGUGGGGUGAUGGCCUACCAAGGCGUUGACGGGUAGCCGGCCUGAGAGGGUGCCCGGGAGCGUGACGACUGAGAUUGGGCCCAGGCUCCUACGGGAGGCAGCAGUGGGGACAAUUGCACGAUGGGUGCAAGCCUGAUGCAGCGACGCAGCGUGAGGGAUGGAGGCCUGGGGGUUGUGAACCUCUUUCGCUCAUGGUCAAGCCGCAACAAUGGUUGUGGUGAGGGUAGUGGGUAAAGAAGCGCCGGCUAACUACGUG
This 483-nucleotide ribosomal RNA is filed under the name uncultured bacterium. RNAcentral describes it as "partial 16S ribosomal RNA". It matches the Rfam family "Bacterial small subunit ribosomal RNA", at positions 28 to 507 of the family's 1533-position model. The record is from RNAcentral.